AGAGUUUGAUCCUGGCUCAGGAUGAACGCUAGCUGUGUGCCUAAUACAUGCAUGUUGAACGAAGUUUUUAAAUUUAGUAGCGAAUGGGUGAGUAACACGUAUCUAACCUACCUUUUAGAUUGGGAUAACUAUUGGAAACAAUAGCUAAUACCGAAUAUUUAUUAAUAUCGCAUGAUAUUUUUAUAAAAGAAGCGUUUGCUUCGCUAAGAGAUGGGGAUGCGCCAUAUUAGCUAGUUGGUAGAGUAAUAGCCUACCAAGGCGAUGAUAUGUAGCCGGGCUGAGAAGCUGAUCGGCCACACUGGGACUGAGAUACGGCCCAGACUCCUACGGGAGGCAGCAGUAGGGAAUUUUCCACAAUGAGCGAAAGCUUGAUGGAGCGACACAGCGUGCAGGAUGAAGGUCUUCGGAUUGUAAACUGCUGUUAUAAAGGAAGAAAAACUCGGAUAGGAAAUGAUUCGAGCUUGACGGUACUUUAUUAGAAAGUGACGGCUAACUAUGUGCCAGCAGCCGCGGUAAU
RNAcentral lists this ribosomal RNA (517 nucleotides) under uncultured bacterium. RNAcentral describes it as "bacterial SSU rRNA". It matches the Rfam family "Bacterial small subunit ribosomal RNA", at positions 8 to 524 of the family's 1533-position model. The record is from RNAcentral.